CAUUCUUUUCUUUUUUCUUCUCAAACCAACAGCAAAGAGACUUUUGAAGACCUUUGAAAACUCUUCUAUCAGUCCUCUUGGGAACUCUAAGAGGAUGAUUUUAAGGACACUGUCAACUGGGAGAUCUUUUUCCAAACAAACACUGCUCUCAUUUUUGACAUCUGGAUUUUGACAUCAAGAGUUGCCUGCAUUCUGAGCUUGGAAUUCAUCUUUGAAAAGCCUCAUCCUUCUGCGGGACGUGGAGGACGCGGGACGACGCGUAGGACUGGGCUGUCAGCCCCAGUUUUCCAUGCAGUGUUUGAGAAGCUUUGCUCUGGUCCCAAAAAAAAAAAACAAAACAAAACAAAAGAAAACAAGAAAGAAAGAGAAGGAAAGAAAGACAAGGUUUGAGCUGGCUGUAGUGGCUCCUGCCUGUAGUCCCGGCUCCUCAUUAGGCUAAGGUGAGAAAAUUGCUUGAGCCCAGGAGUUUGAGGCCAGCCUG
Molecule: long non-coding RNA, 481 nt
Filed under: Aotus nancymaae (Ma's night monkey)
Lineage: Eukaryota; Metazoa; Chordata; Mammalia; Primates; Aotidae
Description: lncRNA (ENSANAG00000038703.1)
Source: RNAcentral